Molecule: long non-coding RNA, 752 nt
Organism: Bombyx mori (domestic silkworm)
Lineage: Eukaryota; Metazoa; Arthropoda; Insecta; Lepidoptera; Bombycidae
Exons: 2
Source: RefSeq, a predicted model, not a curated record
AUUGCAACUUACAGAAAACAGUAUUUGUUGUCCAUCUAUAUUUCACUAUACCAAUUAUAUUUUUUAAUUUUGUGUGUUAUUAGAUAAGAAUAUUAGGAAAUGAAAAUGAUCAGACUCGUUUUGUUAAAGAUGAUCAUAUUUGGUAUCUUGCUGAAUCUCGUCACAUUAACAUCAGCUGCAAGACGGAAACAAAACGACUUAAUAACAUCAGAUGAAAAAACAGACCUCAAAAUUCCACAAGGAGUAUUUGAACAUAUCAAAAACAAGCGAGACACGAGCAGAAGGAACUGGUCUCGCAACACAGCGAGCAACGCUUAUAAUCCACCACCAUAUUUAGUUUUUAACAGCAAAACAGGAUCGUACUAUCCUUAUUACAAAUUCCCAAUCGAAAACAAUUACAUUCGUAGAAAUAUGUAUAAAUACAGUUGAAAUGUAUCUGUGAUUUUAAGUAGAAUAAAAAUAAUAAAUGAUGAAAAGGAUGUUUCUGUUUAUAAUGUUUAAGUUAAUUACAAUGUCAAUAGAUACCUAUUUGUUUUAUACAAGCAAUGAAUAAAGAAAGUUAGAGUUGAUUUUUUAUUACUGUGUAUUAUUACAUUUAAUGGAUAUUUAAAUAAUUGGACAGUAAUUUGUAUUCAAAGGUACAAGACGGUGAACGAUGUUAUUUCCGUGUGACAACGAAAACCAUAAAUAAUUUAAAACGUCAGAAAUAUGUAAUGAAAACAAAAUAAUAAACGCGAGCUUAAUCCGUCAAA